This 1217-nucleotide ribosomal RNA is filed under the name uncultured Rhizaria. Its description in RNAcentral is "SSU rRNA". It matches the Rfam family "Eukaryotic small subunit ribosomal RNA", at positions 577 to 1804 of the family's 1831-position model. The record is from RNAcentral.
CGGUAAUUCCAGCUCCAAUAGCGUAUACUAAAGUUGUUGCAGUUAAAAAGCUCGUAGUUGGAUUUCUGCGGGGACGGAGCGGCCGGACGCAACUUGCGUCUCGAGCUAGCGCUUUCCCCGCAUCCUGCCGCGAACCGUGCUACCAUUAGUUUGGUGGCGCUGGGGAUCGGCUCGAUUACUUUGAGAAAAAUAGAGUGUUCAAAGCAGGCCACACGCCUUGAAUAAGUUAGCAUGGAAUAAUGACUAAGGACUUCGGUUCUAUUUUGUUGGUGUUCGGGACUGAAGUAAUGAUUGAUAGGGACAGUUGGGGCGGUCUGUAUUCCAAAGCGAGAGGUGAAAUUCUUAGACCUUCGGAAGACAAACAGCUGCGAAAGCGUUCCGCAAGGAUGUUCCCUUUGAUCAAGAACGAAAGUUGGGGGAUCGAAGACGAUCAGAUACCGUCGUAGUCUCAACUAUAAACUAUACCAGCUAGGGAUCGGUCAACGUUUAAUUAUUCGACUUGAUCGGCACCUUAUGAGAAAUCAAAGCAUCUGGGUUCCGGGGGGAGUAUGGUCGCAAGGCUGAAACUUAAAGGAAUUGACGGAAGGGCACCACCAGCCGUGGAGCCUGUGGCUUAAUUUGACUCAACACGGGAAAACUUACCAGGUCCAGACAUAGUAAGGAUUGACAGAUUGAUAGCUCUUUCUUGAUUCUGUGGGUGGUGGUGCAUGGCCGUUCUUAGUUGGUGGAGUGAUUUGUCUGGUUAAUUCCGUUAACGAACGAGACCCCAGCCUGCUAAAUAGCGCGGCUGAGCUUUGCUCGGUGCGAGCUUCUUAGAGGGACUAUGAUGCGCGAUAGCACAUGGAAGUUUGGGGCAAUACCAGGUCUGUGAUGCCCUUAGAUGUUCUGGUCCGCACACGGGCUACACUGGCGCCUGCAACGAGCAUAUCAGCUGGCCCGAGAGGGUCUUGGCUAAUCUUUUGAACCGGCGCCGUGCUUGGGAUUGACCUUUGCAAUUGUUGGUCAUGCAACGAGGAAUGCCUUGUAAACGCGAGUCAUCAGCUCGCAUUGAAUACGUCCCUGCCCUUUGUACACACCGCCCGUCGCUCCUACCGAUGAAUGUUCCGAUGAAAUUUUCGGAGAGCGCCAGAGAACGGGGCUCUGCCUUGCAGAUCUGGAGGCUCAAAGUCACUUAAAUCUGAACAUUUCGAGGAAGGAGAAGUCGUAACAAGGUAACC